GACAGUUUGGCCGAGUGGUCGAAGGCGCUGGCUUCAAGCGCUAGUCUAAAAGGGCGCGAGUUCGGGUCUCGCAGCUGUUA
Non-coding RNA from Perkinsus olseni, 80 nucleotides. The record is from the annotation of a GenBank genome assembly. NCBI's taxonomy places the organism in Eukaryota, Perkinsozoa, Perkinsida, Perkinsidae.